RNAcentral lists this ribosomal RNA (519 nucleotides) under uncultured bacterium. RNAcentral describes it as "bacterial SSU rRNA". It matches the Rfam family "Bacterial small subunit ribosomal RNA", at positions 791 to 1304 of the family's 1533-position model. The record is from RNAcentral.
UAGUCCACGCCCUAAACGAUGAUUGCUAAACAUCGGAAAAAUAAUUAUUUUCGGUGUUGAAGUUAACGCAUUAAGCAAUCCGCCUGAGUAGUACGGUCGCAAGACUAAAACUCAAAGGAAUUGACGGGGACCCGCACAAGCGGUGGAGCAUGUGGUUUAAUUCGAUAAUCCGCGAAAAACCUUACCAGCUCUUGACAUGGAAGUCGCGCUUUUAAGAGAUUAAAAGCUUCGGUUCGGCCGGACUUCGCACAGGUGGUGCAUGGCUGUCGUCAGCUCGUGUCGUGAGAUGUUGGGUUAAGUCCUUUAACGGGCGCAACCCCUAUUUUUAGUUGCUAACAGGUAAAGCUGAGAACUUUGGAGAGACUGCCAGUGACAAACCGGAGGAAGGUAAGGAUGACGUCAAGUCAGCAUGCCCCUUACGCUCUGGGCUACACACGUGCUACAAUGGUCGUGACAAAGAGUUGCUAGUCUGCGAAGGCAAGCCAAUCUCAUAAACGCGGCCUUAGUUCGGAUUGCAGG